UACGUAGGGGGCGAGCGUUGUUCGGAUUCAUUGGGCGUAAAGGGCGCGUAGGCGGCGGGGUAAGUCUGGUGUGAAAUCUCGGAGCUCAACUCCGAAAUUGCACUGGAUACUGCUCUGCUAGAGGGCUGGAGAGGAGAUCGGAAUUCACGGUGUAGCAGUGAAAUGCGUAGAUAUCGUGAGGAAGACCAGUGGCGAAGGCGGAUCUCUGGACAGCUCCUGACGCUGAGGCGCGAAGGCUAGGGGAGCAAACGGG
Molecule: ribosomal RNA, 253 nt
Filed under: uncultured bacterium
Lineage: Bacteria
Description: partial 16S ribosomal RNA
Rfam family: Bacterial small subunit ribosomal RNA
Source: RNAcentral